UAGCAGUGAAAGGAAAGGAGGAUAUUGUGGGUAACAAUAUGGGUAUAAUUGAACUGGCAUCUUAAGAGGUAGAUCUGCAUGCCUAUGAAAAUCUGGAUAGCCUUGGUGUGGGAAUGGAAGAGAAUUUAGAAAGAGUCACAUGGAGCCCAAUCAGCUGUUUAGCUAAGGAAAAUGUUGAGGGAGUUGUUUCUGAGAGACACGUACCCAAGGUUUGCGAAAUGCAGGGAAUAAUGAUAUUAAGGAAUGAAGGGAAGUUUAAUGAGUUGCGGUCUGUUGGAUCUCUGUGACCCCAGAAUAUCGGACCCAAGGAGGCACAUUUAAUCUGGGUCGGGAGCCCGUGAUGCAGAGCCACCAUAAACUCCUAUCUUGGUUGAUGCUAUUGCUAGUCUUAUGAAUUGAAGAGCUGAGCAGGCUAGACUGCUGAACAGGAACAUUCAGAAUACAGGGAAUUAACGUGGUUGUUGGGAAUCGAAGCAGUAUCAAUAACACCAACUUUUGGAGACAUUAUUCUUAACCUUUCACACAACAAUUGGAUAGGUAC
This 541-nucleotide long non-coding RNA is filed under the name Setaria viridis. RNAcentral describes it as "long non-coding RNA (SVIR_LNC004371)". Lineage: Eukaryota; Viridiplantae; Streptophyta; Magnoliopsida; Poales; Poaceae. The record is from RNAcentral.